GUCCACGCCGUAACGAUGAAUACUAGGUGUUGGUGGCAAGCCCAUCGGUGCCGCCGCAACGCAAUAAGUAUUCCACCUGGGAGUACGUUCGCAAGAAUGAACUCAAAGGAAUUGACGGGGACCCGCACAAGCGGUGGAGCAUGUGGUUAAUUCGAAGCAACGCGAAGAACCUUACCAAGUCUUGACAUCGUAGCGACCGGAACUUAAUCGUUCCUUCCUUCGGGGCGCUAUAGACAGGUGGUGCAUGGUUGUCGU
Molecule: ribosomal RNA, 255 nt
Filed under: uncultured bacterium
Lineage: Bacteria
Description: partial 16S ribosomal RNA
Rfam family: Bacterial small subunit ribosomal RNA
Source: RNAcentral